RNAcentral lists this microRNA precursor (85 nucleotides) under Cercocebus atys (sooty mangabey). RNAcentral's name for it is "miRNA (ENSCATG00000016819.1)". The record is from RNAcentral. Lineage: Eukaryota; Metazoa; Chordata; Mammalia; Primates; Cercopithecidae.
AUUUCAGGUUGGUGCAAAAGUAAUUGUGGUUUUUGCCAUUAAAAGUGAUGGCAAAAACUACUAUUACGUUUGCACCAAUCUAAUA